GGGGAUAUAGCUCAGUUAGUAGAGUGCUUGCCUCACAUGUAUAAGGUCCUGGGUUCAAUCCCCAGCACACACA
This is a non-coding RNA of Ictidomys tridecemlineatus (thirteen-lined ground squirrel), 73 nucleotides long. The record is from Rfam. Lineage: Eukaryota; Metazoa; Chordata; Mammalia; Rodentia; Sciuridae.